RNAcentral lists this ribosomal RNA (474 nucleotides) under Streptococcus mitis. RNAcentral's name for it is "bacterial SSU rRNA". It matches the Rfam family "Bacterial small subunit ribosomal RNA", at positions 28 to 486 of the family's 1533-position model. Lineage: Bacteria; Bacillati; Bacillota; Bacilli; Lactobacillales; Streptococcaceae. The record is from RNAcentral.
GACGAACGCUGGCGGCGUGCCUAAUACAUGCAAGUAGAACGCUGAAGGAGGAGCUUGCUUCUCCGGAUGAGUUGCGAACGGGUGAGUAACGCGUAGGUAACCUGCCUGGUAGCGGGGGAUAACUAUUGGAAACGAUAGCUAAUACCGCAUAAGAGUAGAUGUUGCAUGACAUUUGCUUAAAAGGUGCAAUUGCACCACUACCAGAUGGACCUGCGUUGUAUUAGCUAGUUGGUGGGGUAACGGCUCACCAAGGCGACGAUACAUAGCCGACCUGAGAGGGUGAUCGGCCACACUGGGACUGAGACACGGCCCAGACUCCUACGGGAGGCAGCAGUAGGGAAUCUUCGGCAAUGGACGGAAGUCUGACCGAGCAACGCCGCGUGAGUGAAGAAGGUUUUCGGAUCGUAAAGCUCUGUUGUAAGAGAAGAACGAGUGUGAGAGUGGAAAGUUCACACUGUGACGGUAUCUUACCAG